AAAGGAAUAGACGGGGGCCCGCACAAGCAGUGGAGUAUGUGGUUUAAUUCGAAGCAACGCGAAGAACCUUACCAGGGCUUGACAUCCCUUGACAGCUGUAGAGAUACAGUAUCCCUUCGGGGCAAGGAGACAGGUGGUGCAUGGUUGUCGUCAGCUCGUGUCGUGAGAUGUUGGGUUAAGUCCCGCAACGAGCGCAACCCCUGUUGUUAGUUGCCAUCAUUAAGUUGGGCACUCUAGCGAGACUGCCGGUGACAAAUCGGAGGAAGGUGGGGACGACGUCAAAUCAUCAUGCCCCUUAUGUCCUGGGCUACACACGUACUACAAUGGUCACUACAGCGGGAAGCGAAGCGGCAACGCGGAGCGAAUCCUAAAAAGUGGCCCCAGUUCGGAUUGUGGGCUGCAACCCGCCCACAUGAAGUCGGAAUUGCUAGUAAUGGCAGGUCAGCAUACUGCCGUGAAUACGUUCCCGGGCCUUGCACACACCGCCCGU
RNAcentral lists this ribosomal RNA (490 nucleotides) under uncultured bacterium. RNAcentral describes it as "bacterial SSU rRNA". It matches the Rfam family "Bacterial small subunit ribosomal RNA", at positions 903 to 1397 of the family's 1533-position model. The record is from RNAcentral.